RNAcentral lists this long non-coding RNA (309 nucleotides) under Nicotiana tabacum (common tobacco). RNAcentral describes it as "long non-coding RNA (NTAB_LNC006584)". Lineage: Eukaryota; Viridiplantae; Streptophyta; Magnoliopsida; Solanales; Solanaceae. The record is from RNAcentral.
UUCAGUUUAGGGUUUAAAACCCUAAUGAUGACUAGAUGGAAAGAGUUUAGUUUAGGGUUUAAAACCCUAAUGCUGACUAGAGGAAAAGUUCAGUUUAGGGUUUAAAACCCUAACGCUGACUGAAUGGAAAAGUUCAGUUUAGGGUUUAGAACCCUAAUGCUGACUGAAUGGAAAAAGUUCAGUUUAGGGUUUAAAACCCUAAUGCUGACUAAAGGAAAGAGUUCAGUUUAGGGUUUAAAACCCUAAUGCUGACUGACUGGGGACAAAGUUCGAGGAUACUAACUGACCUCUUUUUUUGAAUUUUCUUGU